Molecule: transfer RNA, 65 nt
Filed under: Arboridia sp. 1 NZ-2023a
Lineage: Eukaryota; Metazoa; Arthropoda; Insecta; Hemiptera; Cicadellidae
Description: tRNA-Asn
Source: RNAcentral
UUAAUAGAAACCAAAAAAGAGGUAUCUUAUUGUUAAUAAGAACAAUGAACUUUAUUCCUAUUAAA